This 468-nucleotide ribosomal RNA is filed under the name uncultured bacterium. Its description in RNAcentral is "partial 16S ribosomal RNA". It matches the Rfam family "Bacterial small subunit ribosomal RNA", at positions 36 to 507 of the family's 1533-position model. The record is from RNAcentral.
UCCUCCCUCUGGCGGCGUGCUUAACACAUGCAAGUCGAACGGAAAGGCCCUGCUUUUGUGGGGUGCUCGAGUGGCGAACGGGUGAGUAACACGUGAGUAACCUGCCCUUGACUUUGGGAUAACUUCAGGAAACUGGGGCUAAUACCGGAUAGGAGCUCCUGCUGCAUGGUGGGGGUUGGAAAGUUUCGGCGGUUGGGGAUGGACUCGCGGCUUAUCAGCUUGUUGGUGGGGUAGUGGCUUACCAAGGCUUUGACGGGUAGCCGGCCUGAGAGGGUGACCGGCCACAUUGGGACUGAGAUACGGCCCAGACUCCUACGGGAGGCAGCAGUGGGGAAUAUUGCACAAUGGGCGGAAGCCUGAUGCAGCAACGCCGCGUGCGGGAUGACGGCCUUCGGGUUGUAGACCGCUUUCGCCUGUGACGAAGCGUGAGUGACGGUAAUGGGUAAAGAAGCACCGGCUAACUACGUG